AAAGUGGAGCAAUCCAUGAGUAAAGUGGCGACCGGGUGAGUAACACGUGACUAACCUACCUCCGAGUGGGGAAUAACUCCGGGAAACCGGGGCUAAUACCGCAUAACAUCGCAAGAUCAAAGCAGCAAUGCGCUUGGAGAGGGGGUCGCGGCUGAUUAGCUAGUUGGCGGGGUAACGGCCCACCAAGGCGAAGAUCGGUAUCCGGCCUGAGAGGGCGCACGGACACACUGGAACUGAAACACGGUCCAGACUCCUACGGGAGGCAGCAGUGGGGAAUUUUGCGCAAUGGGGGAAACCCUGACGCAGCAACGCCGCGUGGAGGAUGAAGUCCCUUGGGACGUAAACUCCUUUCGACCAAGACGAUAAUGACGGUACUGGUGGAAGAAGCACCGGCUAACUCUGUGCCAGCAGCCGCGGUAAUACAGAGGGUGCGAGCGUUGUUCGGAAUUAUUGGGCGUAAAGGGCGCGUAGGCGGUGCCACAAGUCACUUGUGAAAUCCCCGGGCUUAACUCGGGGCCUGCAGGCGAAACUGUGGUGCUGGAGUAUGGGAGAGGUGCGUGGAAUUCCCGGUGUAGCGGUGAAAUGCGUAGAUAUCGGGAGGAACACCUGUGGCGAAAGCGGCGCACUGGACCAUAACUGACGCUGAGGCGCGAAAGCUAGGGGAGCAAACAGGAUUAGAUACCCUGGUAGUCCUAGCCCUAAACGAUGAUUGCUUGGUGUAGCAGGUACCCAAUCCUGCUGUGCCGCAGCUAACGCGAUAAGCAAUCCGCCUGGGGAGUACGGUCGCAAGGCUGAAACUC
This 800-nucleotide ribosomal RNA is filed under the name uncultured Bacillota bacterium. Its description in RNAcentral is "bacterial SSU rRNA". It matches the Rfam family "Bacterial small subunit ribosomal RNA", at positions 71 to 902 of the family's 1533-position model. Lineage: Bacteria; Bacillati; Bacillota. The record is from RNAcentral.